GUGGUUUGACCAACCACAGAUCAAAGAUUCAGGGAGAAAACACCAACUGAAUCUGGAGGCCAUCGAGAUGGCUUAGCAGGAAAGGUAAGCCUUGUUCCUACUGAUCCUUCUUCCAGUGUUCUGUGAGGUGUCUGCUACUUACAGGUUUGCAAUAAAACACCUUAAGAAACUGAGGUGCU
This 179-nucleotide long non-coding RNA is filed under the name Cricetulus griseus (Chinese hamster). RNAcentral's name for it is "lncRNA (ENSCGRG00000025063.1)". Lineage: Eukaryota; Metazoa; Chordata; Mammalia; Rodentia; Cricetidae. The record is from RNAcentral.